This 460-nucleotide ribosomal RNA is filed under the name uncultured bacterium. RNAcentral's name for it is "partial 16S ribosomal RNA". It matches the Rfam family "Bacterial small subunit ribosomal RNA", at positions 338 to 795 of the family's 1533-position model. The record is from RNAcentral.
CCUACGGGAGGCAGCAGUGAGGAAUAUUGGUCAAUGGGCGCAAGUCUGAACCAGCCAUGCAGCGUGAAGGAAGACUGCUCUAUGAGUUGUAAACUUCUUUUGUAAGGGGAUAAAGGCAGAUACGUGUGCCUUUUUGUAUGUAUCGUAUGAAUAAGGAUCGGCUAACUCCGUGCCAGCAGCCGCGGUAAUACGGAGGAUCCGAGCGUUAUCCGGAUUUAUUGGGUUUAAAGGGAGCGUAGAUGGGUUGUUAAGUCAGAUGUGAAAGUUUGCGGCUCAACCGUGAAAUUGCAAUUGAUACUGGCAGCAUUGAGUACAGUUGAGGUAGGCGGAAUUCGUGGUGUAGCGGUGAAAUGCUUAGAUAUCACGAAGAACUCCGAUUGCGAAGGCAGCCUACUAAACUGCCACUGACAUUGAUGCUCGAAAGUGUGGGUAUCAAACAGGAUUAGAUACCCUAGUAGUC